This 484-nucleotide ribosomal RNA is filed under the name uncultured bacterium. RNAcentral describes it as "bacterial SSU rRNA". It matches the Rfam family "Bacterial small subunit ribosomal RNA", at positions 501 to 985 of the family's 1533-position model. The record is from RNAcentral.
CUACGUGCCAGCAGCCGCGGUAAUACGGAAGGUCCGGGCGUUAUCCGGAUUUAUUGGGUUUAAAGGGAGCGUAGGCUGGAGAUUAAGUGUGUUGUGAAAUGUAGACGCUCAACGUCUGACUUGCAGCGCAUACUGGUUUCCUUGAGUACGCACAACGUUGGCGGAAUUCGUCGUGUAGCGGUGAAAUGCUUAGAUAUGACGAAGAACUCCGAUUGCGAAGGCAGCUUACGGGAGCACAACUGACGCUGAAGCUCGAAGGUGCGGGUAUCAAACAGGAUUAGAUACCCUGGUAGUCCGCACAGUAAACGAUGGAUGCCCGUUGUUAGUUCACUUAUGAAUUAGCGACCAAGCGAAAGCAUUAAGCAUCCCACCUGGGGAGUACGCCGGCAACGGUGAAACUCAAAGGAAUUGACGGGGGCCCGCACAAGCGGAGGAACAUGUGGUUUAAUUCGAUGAUACGCGAGGAACCUUACCCGGGCUUGAA